UGGCUCUCUAGCCACUGUGCCAUCAAGCUGCCCCUCUAUAUCUCUUCUUUCAUGAAGUUUCUUCUACUUCUAGAUUUGAUUGGUAUUUCCUCUCAUGUUGUUCCAAUUUAUUUAUGAUAUCACGCUUUAUUUAUAAAAAUGUACCAGGGAGUGUGUCUUGGUAUAUGGUGUGAGAUGAUGAUCUCUGCCUAGUUUCUGCCAGAUCACUUUUCAGUUUUUCCAAUCAUUUCUGUCAGAUAGUGAGUUCCUGCUCCAAUAGUUGGGGUCUUUGGUUUGAUCAAACACUAGGUUCCUGUGCUCAUUUGCUUCUGUUUAUUGUGUAUCCAGUGCAAAAUUGGCUUUUUUAAGCCCUUACUUUCUGGCUUAGAAUCAAUGCUGUAUAAGACAGAAGAAUAAUCAGGGCUAGGCAAUGGGUAUUAAAUGGCUUGCCCAUCAUCACGCAGUUAGGAAGUAUCUGAGGUCAGAUUUGAAUUCAGGAUCUCCCAUCACUAGGCCUGGCUGGCUCUCAAUUCACUGAAUCACGCAGCUGCCCCCUGACCAAACUCUUUUGAGUGAUUAUGGAUCUCAUUUGAGAGGUCAUCUGGAGUUUGAUAUGAUCUGCCUCAAAUCACUGGCACACAGGACUAUCCGGAAGACAUCCCACUGCUUCCAGCCUCAAGAGGGAAGAUGUGUCAUUACAGAUUUCCUGGAGGGAGAGAAAAGCUCUAAGAAGAAGCCAAUGUGCUGAGGGACCAGCUCUUCAAUCCUCAUGAUAUGCGUGGAACUGUGGCUAUGAGAACUGAUGAAUGGGAGGGUUUGGGAGAAACCUGGAAGACUUGUGUGAACUGAUACAAAGUGACGUGAGCAGAACCAGGGGAACAACUUAUACACUGACAGAAAUGUUUUAAAGAUAAGCAACUUUGAAAGUCUUAAGCAAUCCAAUCAAUUUAAAGAUCCACCAAGACUCCAGAUGCAUGAUGAAACAUGCUACCUGCCUCCUGGCAGAGAGGGGAUGGACUCAGGAUGCAGAUGAAGACAUAGAUUUGGAUCUGGUCAAUAAGAUGAUUUAUUUUUCUCAGCAAUAAAUAUUUGUGACAUA
This 1078-nucleotide long non-coding RNA is filed under the name Monodelphis domestica (gray short-tailed opossum). RNAcentral describes it as "lncRNA (ENSMODG00000036458.1)". The record is from RNAcentral. Lineage: Eukaryota; Metazoa; Chordata; Mammalia; Didelphimorphia; Didelphidae.